UUGCUUGGUACACUGUCAUAACAAUUUAUCCAGGCUUCUGCUAUCAUAUACCUAGCUUAGUAAUAUGAUUCUCUCCUCAUGCAUUUAAUUAUAUUCCCUUUGUUCCUCCAAAGAUGCUAAAAUAAGCAGCAGGUAGAUGGGGGCUUGCUUAGGUCAUUUUCUCUUCUACGUAGAUUGUAAGCCAUUUUCUGUCUUUGCAGUGGAAAGGUGCUAGAAUAGGUAUAGUUGGUAUAAGAAUGUUGACUUCAGGAAAGUGAGGUAAUUGUGAAUACACAUUGAAGAUAUGCCUAAAGGUUGUCUUUUAACAUGGAAAUUGAUAUGAAAUCUUUCUGCUUGUUUUUUUGUUUCUUUCUAUAAAAUACUAAAAAUAAAAUGACAAGUCUGACUGAAGUAUCCAUAGGAUGAUACAAGUGCUCAGAGGAGACAGUUGAGUGCAUAUAAGUAUAUAUAAAAGAACUUUCACAACAUUAUUCAUACCAGAGGAAGAAACAGGCAUGUUAGCAGAAACAUAAGGAGUUCCAGAAAAUUCAAGGUUACUAUUAGUUUUACAGGAACCCAACCAUUUGAAAGUGUAAAAUUGCUGCUAAGGUGCAAUGUUAGCUGUGUGCAUGAAACUUCUCACAUACUACUUCCUGACUUUGAAAUACCUGCAGAAUUUCACUGACUCCUUUUCUGGUUAUUCAUAGAAGUGUGUGUGUCUAUGGUUGUUUUUGUUUUUGUUUUUCUAAGCAAGAGUAAAGAUGAAAAGUGAAGCACUUACAGGUAAUUAAAUGAAAAAGCCUGCCAAUCUUAAUUCAGACUCUUGAUGUGAAUUCAUUAAGAUACAGCCUUUAAUCACAGAAUCACAAACCCUGUUCUAUUACCCAGCUUCAUUAAGUGCAUGAAACAAAUGACAGCCACUUAAUGAGGGGUUGCUCAACCAUUUGUUUUAUACUGGGCAAUAUAAGUCAAUCUGAAUAUGGGUGAUGCAACCAGCCUUUCCUAAUGAGGAAUGGUAGAGCACAGCUGGUUAGUUAUCACAGAGGCAUGAGGGGCAGCAGAAAAUUAUGAAGGAAAGAGCAAAACUGCUAUUUUUUCAGACAAGAUUUUAUUUGACAUUUCUAAAGCCAGAUAGAGCUGCUAAGGUCAAGUUGGAUCAUUUGCAAAAGAUUAGAUGAUUUAAAAGCUGCAUAGUGGGGAGCCUGACAGGGAAGUCUCAUAGGAGAUGGUUUCAUUGAAUCCAUUUCUCUUUGCAUUGCAAUAAAAUAGGAGCGCACAUCAAAGGUAGUUAAAUCUCUUGUGUUGGAGGGAGAAUCAACGUGCUCUAACGCAGCUUCUUGUUAUUUGCCUGUAACAUAGUUACAGGGUGGUGGAGAUCAGGCUGUGUGGUCUUCUGUAGGAUAAUACAAUGCACCAGGUAGAUAUUCACCUCUGAGACAAUGUGUCAGCUGACAUCAUGGGAAGUAGGUGGUAGAGAAGGAGGUAUGAGAGUAGAAUAUGGCUGGUGCUCCAGUUCCAAGUUAUGUGUGCUUCAGGCUAUUUUUUCUCAAUAAUAUCCUUCUUAAUGAUUUCUCUUCAAUUUGAAAUGUGUUGGGGUAGUGUUGUUAUCUCCAGAGCAUGACAUGGUUACAAGAUCCUUUCAAUUCUACCUAAUUUUUUAAGUGUGCAUUAAAUAGAAAUUGCCCGCCUUCCCUCUUGUCUUUGCUGACAGAUUACAGACAAAGGCCUGGAUAAGCUGAUGCUGUAGCUCCCUUUGAUAGCUACUGGACUCUAUUGUGUUGACCUGUGGAACAGACUGGCUAGCCCAGAAAUGAUCACAGCUUGAGCUAAAAUCAACAAUCCCAUAUUGCUUGUUCAAAUACAUUUAACUGCAACAUAUAUAUAUAUACAUAUAUAUUUUGUGUUGAAACAAAUGUCUACAUUUUAACAUUAUGUGGCAGAACAGGGUGUAUAUGCCAUGCGCAGUUUAGAGGCCUAAUAGUUUGCAGUGCAUCAUAGAGAGAGGUCUGUGCCUCUAUGGAGCUGUUCAGAGUGCCAGGGUUCGUCAACAGCUAGCUUAGUAACUGUGGUGCUCUCAAAUGCUUUCUGCAGACAUCUGCCUCUCUGAUUAUAUUGUGAUCGUAGACUCCUAGUUUUAGGCCUUAAGUUAGGUGCCUAGAGACAGCAGUGAGAAAUCACCAUAUCCUGCUUGUAACAGUAAAGAUAGAAACAUGUUUUUUUCAUGAAAGAUUAACUUAUGUACAAAUCAUUUCAGGCUUUUGUAUUUUUUACUACAAUAUGCUAUAUCAUUACAAAUGUUGAACUAGAUUUCUAAAUUGAGAGUUGAUGGAGUUUUUUUUUCUUACCUUUAAUUUAUUAUGCCUCAUUAUAGAUGAAUCUUUAAAGGAGAAAUUAUUUUCCCUUAAAAAUAAAUAUCAGAAUUUGUAUUGUAUGAUUCUGAGCAAUAAAAAAUCAUACUGCAGUAAUGAGAAUAAAAUUAUUCUAGUAGUAUAGCUGGCAAAAGAAUAAAUUGGAAUAAACAUCCUAACACACAAUAACAUAAUUCAAAUAAUACAAACAGUGAUUAUUGCUGACUGCAAUUAUUUAUGACAAUAGCGAGUUGUGGGCUUUACAUAUUAUAGAAAAAGUAAUGCAAGAAUGAAAAUAAAAGAGAAGCUUUCAGAGUUAAUGUAGACGUGCCACUAGACGCUUUUAUCUGCUAUUGCUUUUUAUUUUCACUUUCAAUAUAUGAAAUAAUUGAAGUAAUUCAGCAGCGUAGAUGAAGGCUGAAGCCAUACAUACAUAAUCAAAGAAGUCUGAAAGAAUGUUCUUACCCUAGCUCCAACUGUUUUUUGCUGUUGAUACCAGUGGAAUAUGCAGUAUGGGUAGCUACCUGAAUAGAGAAAAAGAAGUUUGCUGGGAAGCUGAAAGAUGCCAGACUUGGAAGUUUCUCUGCUAAAUUUGAGCUGAUUGUUCUCUUUGAUCUCUCUGUACUUGGAUUCUGGGAUGGGAAAUUUCCAGCACAGUACACUCUGAAAUAGGAAAUAAAUUGAAGGCUCAAGAGAUUGAACCAAACCCUGAAGGAAAGGAAGGAGGUGUUGGCAACUGCAUUGUGAAAAAACCGUAAGCCAUCAUCAAGAUGAGAUUUGUACAAGACUUAGUUCUGAUUUGUGAUGUCAAAUGCAAGAUCCAUCGUUGACUGGGAAGAGAUCUCUGUGCUACACAAAAAUGGAAACCUAACCAGGGAACUUGAGAAUUAUGUACUACUUCUCCACCCCUCUACUCCAUUUGACAUACUUGAUGCCAGGCGAAGGGCAUGGUAAA
Dromaius novaehollandiae (emu) is the source of this 3282-nucleotide long non-coding RNA. RefSeq lists it as uncharacterized. The record is from RefSeq and is a predicted model, not a curated record. The transcript is spliced from 3 exons. Lineage: Eukaryota; Metazoa; Chordata; Aves; Casuariiformes; Dromaiidae.